RNAcentral lists this ribosomal RNA (433 nucleotides) under uncultured bacterium. Its description in RNAcentral is "partial 16S ribosomal RNA". It matches the Rfam family "Bacterial small subunit ribosomal RNA", at positions 29 to 507 of the family's 1533-position model. The record is from RNAcentral.
CACGCACGCUGGCGGCAGGCCUAACACAUGCAAGUCGAGCGAGGACUUCGGUUCUAGCGGCGGACGGGUGAGUAACGCGUGGGAAUGUGCCCUUCUCUACGGAAUAGCCCUGGGAAACUGGGAGUAAUACCGUAUACGCCCUUUUGGGGAAAGAUUUAUCGGAGAAGGAUCAGCCCGCGUUGGAUUAGGUAGUUGGUGGGGUAAUGGCCUACCAAGCCGACGAUCCAUAGCUGGUUUGAGAGGAUGGUCAGCCACACUGGGACUGAGACACGGCCCAGACUCCUACGGGAGGCAGGAGUGGGGAAUCUUAGACAAUGGGGGCAACCCUGAUCUAGCCAUGCCGCGUGAGUGAUGAAGGCCUUAGGGUUGUAAAGCUCUUUCAGCUGGGAAGAUAAUGACGGUACCAGCAGAAGAAGCCCCGGCUAACUCCGUG